GAUGAACGCUGGCGGCGUGCCUAAUACAUGCAAGUCGAGCGAACAGACGAGGAGCUUGCUCCUCUGACGUUAGCGGCGGACGGGUGAGUAACACGUGGAUAACCUACCUAUAAGACUGGGAUAACUUCGGGAAACCGGAUCUAAUACCGGAUAAUAUAUUGAACCGCAUGGUUCAAUAGUGAAAGACGGUUUUGCUGUCACUUAUAGAUGGAUCCGCGCCGCAUUAGCUAGUUGGUAAGGUAACGGCUUACCAAGGCGACGAUGCGUAGCCGACCUGAGAGGGUGAUCGGCCACACUGGAACUGAGCAACGGUCGAGACUCCUACGGGAGGCAGCCGUAGGGAAUCUUCCGAAAUGGGCGAAAGCCUGACGGAGCAACGCCGCGUGAGUGAUGAAGGUCUUCGGAUCGUAAAACUCUGUUAUUAGGGAAGAACAAAUGUGUAAGUAACUAUGCACGUCUUGACGGUACCUAAUCAGAAAGCCACGGCUAACUACGUG
This 497-nucleotide ribosomal RNA is filed under the name uncultured bacterium. RNAcentral's name for it is "partial 16S ribosomal RNA". It matches the Rfam family "Bacterial small subunit ribosomal RNA", at positions 28 to 507 of the family's 1533-position model. The record is from RNAcentral.